GCAAAAUUUGCAUUGAAGCGUUUUUGGAACAGUGAGGUCUGCUAACAGCUGUAUUCAAUCUUGAGUAAAAUCACUUCCUGAAAAAAGUGAAAUUAAACUUAAUAUACAAGCUUGCUUGGAAUAUAAUACCGUGGAGUUAGGGAACUUUGUGAUUAUGAAACCGAAUCCACUCACCCUGCUGAGCAGUGAGAUACUAAUUAAAGAGAGGACACAGUGACCCUGGGUUGUUUAGAAGUCAC
Molecule: long non-coding RNA, 239 nt
Filed under: Ficedula albicollis (Collared flycatcher)
Lineage: Eukaryota; Metazoa; Chordata; Aves; Passeriformes; Muscicapidae
Description: lncRNA (ENSFALG00000026375.1)
Source: RNAcentral